Molecule: long non-coding RNA, 870 nt
Organism: Betta splendens (Siamese fighting fish)
Lineage: Eukaryota; Metazoa; Chordata; Actinopteri; Anabantiformes; Osphronemidae
Exons: 4
Source: RefSeq, a predicted model, not a curated record
UCCGUGAUGCAUCUGGACCUUCAUGGUCACCAGCAGCCGGCGGUCGCCAUGAUGGAUACCUGCGGCCACGGCCACAGCGCGUCGAUGAAAGUGACCCGUGUGUACAGCUCCGCUUCCGGGAUGUGAAACCCAAUUCCGGGUGGGAUUGAUCCAUGUCUGGCCACUACGGGGAUGAGGCCGAAGGGAGAAGAUAAGAGCAGACACCGAGCGGUCAAUGAUACAUUUGAACCAUCAACCUCUGCUGCAAACAGGACGCUAUGGUGACUUUUAAAGCAGUCGCAGACGCCCGUGGACACGUCGACUGUAUCAUCUCCACCCCGGGCGCUGUGCUCUGGCCUGUUGUCACCAUAGGAUGUGAGGUGACUGGACAUCGUGAGCGUGAGCUGCACUGAGCUCGGAGCAGGAUGAGGCCUCCCAACGCAUUUCCUCCCCGCUCCACUGGGACAAGGCCACUUCCUGUAAAGCAGCCUGAUCUCUAUUUAGAUUUCCUCGUUUGGAUCUGCCACAACGCUCCCCGCUGCCAACAUCUGUAAGUGGUUUGGAGGCAAGACGCACUAUGGAAAAACAUCAAAAAAUAAAAAGCGCGGAAUGGCGCUGUGUUAGCAGAUAGACGCGAGGGAGGAACGGCUACAGAAGCAGGGGACCUCAGACAAGUGUAUUAGCAAUAACUGAUACUGGCGAUUAGAUCCGUGGGGCGGUGGAUGGAGUUCCUGGGACCCCAUAGUUUGGGUUUUACUGAGGAUUGACCUCAAUCACGUGUCAGGUUUUAGGCAGAUUGGACUUAGGCUGCAGCACUUUUAAAGAGAUUAUGUUAUUGUAAGAGAUUAGGGGGAGUAGAUACAUUGAAGGGAGCUAAUGAGGGGGUUCUCC